RNAcentral lists this long non-coding RNA (544 nucleotides) under Monodelphis domestica (gray short-tailed opossum). Its description in RNAcentral is "lncRNA (ENSMODG00000034985.2)". The record is from RNAcentral. Lineage: Eukaryota; Metazoa; Chordata; Mammalia; Didelphimorphia; Didelphidae.
UCAUAAUAGGAAUGGCUUUUCUAAACAUUUGGCUAGUUUUUCCUCUCCUCCCUUCUCUGUUCCCCUCCUCCUCUCUUUCCUUCUCUUCUCCCUCCCUCCCUAUUUUCAUCAUGUUUUGGGGUGUCCCAUCUGGCCCAGAAGAAGGGAGAGAUUUGGCUAAACACCAACCAACCAACCAACCAACCAACCAGAGAAGAGAACAAAAGAGCCAUUAUACAGUGCUAAGGAGCACAAGGUCAAAAAGAACCAAACCAAUCCAGGUAGGAUUGAUGGACUUCUAAGCCAAUUUGAAAGAACUUGUACCUAGUGUGAGACUCGAGGUUGCAGUGCUUGCCAUAUGUUAAGAUACAGGAUGCCUUGUAUCCACACUCUUUGUGAAUACUCACAGACAAGUGCCAAAGUUUGGCUAUCAUCCUGGCUCCCCCUAUCCCUGACAGUGAAGGUAAAAUAAGACCAGGGAACGACACUUCCCUAUCACACAAAAAUCUAGUUUUUUUUUUUUUUUCUUGUAUGGCAACUUCCUAUAAUCUUGGCUGCACGUGGG